RNAcentral lists this ribosomal RNA (404 nucleotides) under uncultured bacterium. Its description in RNAcentral is "bacterial SSU rRNA". It matches the Rfam family "Bacterial small subunit ribosomal RNA", at positions 355 to 776 of the family's 1533-position model. The record is from RNAcentral.
UGGGGAAUAUUGCACAAUGGACGAAAGUCUGAUGCAGCAACGCCGCGUGGAGGAUGACACAUUUCGGUGCGUAAACUCCUUUUAUAUGAGAAGAUAAUGACGGUAUUAUAUGAAUAAGCACCGGCUAACUCCGUGCCAGCAGCCGCGGUAAUACGGGGGGUGCAAGCGUUACUCGGAAUCACUGGGCGUAAAGAGCAUGUAGGCGGAUUAAUAAGUUUGAAGUGAAAUCCUAUAGCUUAACUAUAGAACUGCUUUGAAAACUGUUAAUCUAGAAUGUGGGAGAGGUAGAUGGAAUUUCUGGUGUAGGGGUAAAAUCCGUAGAGAUCAGAAGGAAUACCGAUUGCGAAGGCGAUCUACUGGAACAUUAUUGACGCUGAGAUGCGAAAGCGUGGGGAGCAAACAGG